CAAACAAGACAGGCAUAGACAGAGAAGACAGUGGAGAAGAAGAGCUCCCCAAAGCAGACCCGUGUUUCUAACUUGGAAUUUUACAGAGUGCAGCCAGCAUGGUCGUCCUCAGCCUAAUUACUUCGGGAUUUUAUCUUCAGCUUUUCUUCUGCUUUGUUCUCUCUCAGACUUCGUUUGUUGACAGUGUCUUCUCAGUUUCAGCAGACCUUCCUUGCUUGGAGCAGAAGAAACGAAUGAAUAAGAGAGCAUGCUGUCUCCUUGCUCCUCCCCCACCACCAUUAUUUCCACCACCAUAUUUCAAGCACAGCUGGAAUCCUAAACAGCUGGACCUUGAUUUGAAAAACUUUGUUCAAGAACUUCAGAUAACACAAGCUUCAUGUGUACCAGAAUCCGAUUGCCCCUUAGGGCCUCCUGGCCCCCAGGGCCCUCAAGGUAUUCCUGGUAUAAUGGGACCAAAAGGAGAAAAAGGGGAGAUUGGCAGACCAGGAAGAAAGGGUAGACCAGGUCCUCCAGGUGUCCCUGGAAUGCCAGGACCAAUUGGAUGGCCUGGGCCAAUAGGACCUAAGGGUGAAAAGGGAGAUUUGGGUGUGAUGGGAUUACCAGGUACAAGAGGACCAAUGGGCUUCAAGGGUUAUCCUGGAACUAGAGGAGAAAAGGGAUCCAGAGGAGACCGGGGUGACAAAGGUGUCAGAGGAGAAAAGGGUGACAUGGGCUUCCCUGGGAUGCUGGGGCAGAAAGGAGAAAUGGGUCCAAAGGGAGAAUGUGGUACUCCAGGGCACAGAGGACCUAUUGGAAGACCAGGAAAAAGAGGCAAACAGGGAGAAAAGGGAGACACUGGACCCACUGGAAUGAUGGGUCCACCUGGCAGGCCUGGUCCUUCAGGUCAGCCUGGUCCACCAGGAUCAUCAGUGUCAGGACAAUUAGCAAUAGGACCAAAAGGGGAAAGAGGACUUCCAGGGCCUCCAGGGAGAUGUCUUUGCAAACCCCCACAAAAUGUGAACAUCCCACCAUAUGAGGAAUCCAUGUUUGGACACAAUUAUGCAAAAGUCCCUGCGAUUUUUGUGGUGAACAAUCAAGAAGAGCUAGACCGGCUGAACACUAAAAAUGCCUUAGCUUUUCGAAGAGAUCAGAGAUCGCUCUAUUUCAAGGAUACUGUUGGAUGGCUUCCAAUCCAGCUUACUCCUUUCUAUCCUGUGGAUUAUCCUGUAGAGGAUGAAAGUACCUGCGGAGAUGGGAUCAUCCAGGAUGGGGAAGAAUGUGAUGAUGGCAAUACUAUUGUGACUGAUGACUGUAUAAUUGGUCCUCUCAGUUUUGAAGGUGCUCUUCUCUGCAUUGUCCUUAGGAUGUCGUCGUGCUUACUGUGGAGAUGGCUACCGACAUGAAGGAGUAGAAGACUGUGACGGAAAAGAUUUUGGAUAUUUGACAUGUAAAACAUAUCUCCCUGGGUCUUAUGGAAAAUUACGAUGUACUUCCUAUUGUUAUAUUGACUCUACACAGUGUCGCUAUUUCACAUGAAGGAAAAAUGGCGGUGGGUAGCAUCCCACACAUAACAGGUACACCAGGUGCUACACUAUCAUCACUACAAGAAGAACUGAGACAAGUACAAAAAACCUCUGUGUGAAAAAAAUAUCAUGCUGCUGACAGCUAUUUGAAAUUUGUUUUGUUUUUGUUUUUUAAAUCGAGUCAAACUGGAAGAAAAUAGGACCACUGCAUCCUGUCUUAAUAGAAAAAUGUCAGAGUUUGCCAGUAAGAUUUGUGUUUCACAUGGUUGCAUGUGAGAACUACUCUGUAUAACAAGUGCAACAUUAAAUCACUGGAAACUGAAUUUCACUAACCAGGAAUAUUGCGCGACAAGACAACAAUACCUCGACUUAGCACUGUUAGAUCUAAUGUACACUCUUCAGGGUUUUUGUUUUUAGACUUUCUCAAUGUAAACACAAAGCAUAUCCUAGAUGCUCUGUUUGCAGAGAUUAUUUACUCUUUUACUACAAUGUGAACUUCAUAUGUGUUGUAUCGCAUGAAAGACCGCUUCAGUGACAUACAAAUUAGCUAAAAACACUCAUGGGUGGAUUCAGUAGAUGCUGUCCAGUAAGCGGUUUUAAGGGCAGCAAAUCAGGGAAAGGAACUGAUCAACGUUAUCUACAGUAUAUACAGUGGAUAAGAAGAAGAGCUGUAGAAAUGUGUGUGUGUAUAUAAAAAUGCUGAUGGAUCACACAGGGCCUACACUUGCAAGACAAAAAAAGCCAAACUGGAAGAACUAACUGGAGAAACUCCCUGUCUCAGGAGGGAUCAGGCAUGAAGAAGACAAAGAGUUAAUGCAUUUUCUUACCCUUUGUCAAGUUGGCUGUAUUGCGGGCUACUAGUGAUGCCGCAGGGACUUGAUUCUUUUAGAAUUUCCCAGGAUUACUUAAAAACUGUGGUGAAGAUUACAAUGUGGUCAUUUGCAUGUUGACUUUCACUUUAGUUUCUAUUCCAGAAACCAUUGCUCUCUCUUUUCUUUCCUUUGUUCACCUAAUCUUAAUCCCUGUUAUUUGAUCACGUUCUUCACUCUCUCCAGAUUUCCUGUUUUGUCCUAUCCAUCGCUGUCUGGUUUUAGUCUUGCCUAGUGUUCAUCACUAUUCAGUGUAUAUUCUCCUUUUUACAUCUCUGUAGAACUAGUCUCAUGGUGGUGUGUUUAUCAAUUCCCAUUCAAUCUACAUGCUGCAUAGGUUGUAUAUAUAUUUUUGUUUUAUUUUUGGAAAAAAUUGGUCAAAUGAUAUGUUAGCUCUAAUAGCAUUCAGGGUAAUUAUGUAUUUGUUUACUAGCAAGCUUUAAUGAGUGAAUGUCAUACAGGAGCAGCACUGAGUAUGCUACAUGCAACCAAAUUUAUAAUCAAAGCAAACGCUACAUACAGUGAUGUGUGCAAUUCAGGGAUAUAGGUCUCAGAAUAGUUUGUCAUUGUCAUAUUGGCCACUUGGUUCUGCUUUAUGCUAAAUACUAUACGUGAAUGUUUGAAAUGCAUGAAUCACAUGUACCAGUGACAGCACUGCAAUGGUAGUCAUAUAUACAGUUACUUCUCUAAAGGUGAUAAUGCAUUAACACAACCAACUGAUAUAUACACUUUCCCCACGUGUAGAAGACUUUGCUUUCAUUCUGCAUGCUCAUGGCAAUACUGGAAAUCACCAGUGAAAAAACUAAUAAAGGCAGUUCAUUUACUUGCUAUGGCUAUCUCUUACCUGCAUUGUUUAUGCUGCUGUGAGAUGAGACCAAUAUUGUUUGUAGUCCAGCCCACUGAUUAGAUGAUCAGUCUUCUUUAUCAUUUAUUUUUUUAAGCAGAGGAAUUAAUAAAUGAUCACCUUUUAGUUAGA
This is an RNA transcript of Gavialis gangeticus (Gharial), 3347 nucleotides long. It is a transcript of the gene named collagen like tail subunit of asymmetric acetylcholinesterase, with no coding region annotated. The transcript is spliced from 17 exons. NCBI's taxonomy places the organism in Eukaryota, Metazoa, Chordata, Crocodylia, Gavialidae. The record is from RefSeq and is a predicted model, not a curated record.